AGAUUGAACACUGGCGGCAUGCCUAACACAUGCAAGUCGAACGGGAGUAGCAAUACUCUAGUGGCGGACGGGUGAGGAAUACGUAGGAAUUUGCCCUUAAGUGGGGGAUAACCCGGGGAAACCCGGAUUAAUACCGCAUGACCUCGAAAGAGCAAAGUGGGGGAUCGCAAGACCUCACGCUUUUGGAGAAGCCUACGUCGGAUUAGCUAGUUGGUGAGGUAAUGGCUCACCAAGGCGACGAUCCGUAACUGGUCUGAGAGGAUGAUCAGUCACACCGGAACUGAGACACGGUCCGGACUCCUACGGGGAGGCAGCAGUGGGGAAUAUUGGACAAUGGGACGCAAG
Molecule: ribosomal RNA, 345 nt
Filed under: uncultured soil bacterium
Lineage: Bacteria
Description: bacterial SSU rRNA
Rfam family: Bacterial small subunit ribosomal RNA
Source: RNAcentral